This 254-nucleotide ribosomal RNA is filed under the name uncultured bacterium. Its description in RNAcentral is "partial 16S ribosomal RNA". It matches the Rfam family "Bacterial small subunit ribosomal RNA", at positions 524 to 776 of the family's 1533-position model. The record is from RNAcentral.
UACGGAGGGGGCUAGCGUUGUUCGGAAUUACUGGGCGUAAAGGGCGCGUAGGCGGCCAGCGCAAGUCAGUUGUGAAAUCUCCGAGCUUAACUCGGAAAGGUCAACUGAUACUGCGCGGCUAGAGUGCAGAAGGGGCAACUGGAAUUCUCGGUGUAGCGGUGAAAUGCGUAGAUAUCGAGAGGAACACCUGCGGCGAAGGCGGGUUGCUGGGCUGACACUGACGCUGAGGCGCGAAAGCUAGGGGAGCGAACGGG